This 695-nucleotide ribosomal RNA is filed under the name uncultured bacterium. RNAcentral's name for it is "bacterial SSU rRNA". It matches the Rfam family "Bacterial small subunit ribosomal RNA", at positions 112 to 823 of the family's 1533-position model. The record is from RNAcentral.
AACGCGUGAGGAACCUGCCUCAAAGAGGGGAACAACAGUUGGAAACGACUGCUAAUACCGCAUAAGCCCACGACCCGGCAUCGGGUAGAGGGAAAAGGAGCAAUCCGCUUUGAGAUGGCCUCGCGUCCGAUUAGCUAGUUGGUGAGGUAACGGCCCACCAAGGCGACGAUCGGUAGCCGGACUGAGAGGUUGAACGGCCACAUUGGGACUGAGACACGGCCCAGACUCCUACGGGAGGCAGCAGUGGGGAAUAUUGCACAAUGGGGGAAACCCUGAUGCAGCGACGCCGCGUGGAGGAAGAAGGUCUUCGGAUUGUAAACUCCUGUUGUUGAGGAAGAUAAUGACGGUACUCAACAAGGAAGUGACGGCUAACUACGUGCCAGCAGCCGCGGUAAAACGUAGGUCACAAGCGUUGUCCGGAAUUACUGGGUGUAAAGGGAGCGCAGGCGGGAAGACAAGUUGGAAGUGAAAUCCAUGGGCUCAACCCAUGAACUGCUUUCAAAACUGUUUUUCUUGAGUAGUGCAGAGGUAGGCGGAAUUCCCGGUGUAGCGGUGGAAUGCGUAGAUAUCGGGAGGAACACCAGUGGCGAAGGCGGCCUACUGGGCACCAACUGACGCUGAGGCUCGAAAGUGUGGGUAGCAAACAGGAUUAGAUACCCUGGUAGUCCACACUGUAAACGAUGAUUACUAGGUGU